GACGUAGGGCGCGAGCGUUGUCCGGAUUUAUUGGGCGUAAAGAGCUCGUAGGCGGCUUGUUACGUCGACUGUGAAAACCCGCGGCUCAACCGUGUGGCUUGCAGUCGAUACGGGCAGGCUAGAGUUCGGUAGGGGAGACUGGAAUUCCUGGUGUAGCGGUGAAAUGCGCAGAUAUCAGGAGGAACACCGGUGGCGAAGGCGGGUCUCUGGGCCGAUACUGACGCUGAGGAGCGAAAGUGUGGGGAGCGAACAGG
This 254-nucleotide ribosomal RNA is filed under the name uncultured bacterium. RNAcentral's name for it is "partial 16S ribosomal RNA". It matches the Rfam family "Bacterial small subunit ribosomal RNA", at positions 524 to 776 of the family's 1533-position model. The record is from RNAcentral.